GAUGAACGCUGACAGAAUGCUUAACACAUGCCAGUCUUUGGUGAAGCUGUGCUUGCACAGCCUAGCCAAGGCGGACGGGUGAGUAACGCGUAAGGAACUUGCCCUGCAGUCAGGGAUAACAGACGGAAACGACUGAUAAGACCUGGUAAAGUCAGGCGGACUCAUGUCCAGCCUGAUGAAAAGAGAUGCUGCAGGAGAGCCUUGCGUCCUAUUAGCUUGUUGGUGGGGUAACGGCCCACCAAGGCAAUGAUAGGUAGCCGGCCUGAGAGGGUGGACGGCCACAAGGGGACUGAGAUACGGCCCUUACUCCUACGGGAGGCAGCAGUGGGGAAUAUUGGACAAUGGGGGCAACCCUGAUCCAGCAAUUCUGUGUGCACGAUGAAGGUUUUCGGAUUGUAAAGUGCUUUCAGCAGGGAAGAAAAAAAUGACGGUACCUGCAGAAGAAGCGACGGCUAAAUACGUG
Molecule: ribosomal RNA, 463 nt
Filed under: uncultured bacterium
Lineage: Bacteria
Description: partial 16S ribosomal RNA
Rfam family: Bacterial small subunit ribosomal RNA
Source: RNAcentral